UCUUUGGUGGCCUAGCUUUGAUGAUUUAUUUGCUCAUAAAGCUAGACAACCAUUGCA
This 57-nucleotide microRNA precursor is filed under the name Bactrocera dorsalis (oriental fruit fly). Its description in RNAcentral is "microRNA bdo-mir-4 precursor". Its record names the gene bdo-mir-4. Lineage: Eukaryota; Metazoa; Arthropoda; Insecta; Diptera; Tephritidae. The record is from miRBase by way of RNAcentral.